AAAAAAUAUCAAUUCAGUGAUUCAAUUAUGCAGUGCAAGUAAUUUUAAGGUUGAAUGUCCAUGUAGUCUCUACAUUGAUUUGACGUCAUAAAAACCCAUCCAAAUGAUCAUGACGCGCUUUGAAAAUAUUGCUUAGUAUGUGUUAAUGCAUCAUUAAUAUUAGACAUACUGACAGUAUAUAAUAUAGCCUUAAUGGUAUGCAGCAUAUAUAAAAUAUUAAAUAUAAAAAAAAAAAAAAAAGUUUGUGUCAAACUACAACUCCCAUGAUGCGUCGCGCUGCUCCGAGCGCGUGUGCGCGCCCGUGGAAUGAAGGGCGCACUUGUUGAGUUUGGGAACUUCGAGGGGCUCGAACUUCUCGCUUCGGACGCAGCGGAGCUCUCUCAUCAUCGCUGUCAUCAGGCAACACGGAUUCCGGCCGGCUUUCCACUUCUGGGACUAGGUUUUUCUUUGUCGAAGCGCGCGUCGGUUGUCCGGAGUGUUUUACGCGUCAGACGCGCACCGUUACAGCGCGCGCGGGGGAUGAACGACACCACUGCGAGGAUGAAGACGUGCCUUAAUCGACUCGCAUCUACAGGAGAGUCGAGGUUUCGGUGGAGAGCUACGGGACGUGUCAUGCCGCUUUGGACUAUCGUAGGGCUUGGAGAAUGAAGAACAUCGCUGCUCUGAGAGUUUCAGAUGCAUCAUCAGCGCAGAUCCGAUGGGAAACUACAGCGUGCUGUCAUCCGUUCAGACGGAGUGACAUUUGUCUGGUAAAAAUCACACCACUACAUCAAAUAAACUCUCCGCCGUAAUCGCAGGAGGCUCUGGACGGCAUUAUUGGGGAUCUGUACGGUAAAUAAAAGCUGUAUAGAUUUACAGAGCCCGAGCGCUCUCCGUCUCACUCAUCCAGGACUAUAAAGUCCAUCCAGCCGUGAUCCCGAGGGAAAGAAUGCUAUCGAGCUCUAAGCCGUCUGACAUUUACAGCACUCGUCCUGAUCCCGCCUCGUCACACGCCGUUCAGGCCUGUCCAUGUGGACGCGAACAGGCUCUAAAGUCGUGAGAAAUGAUGCUGAUUCUGGCAGAACGUCAAGAUAAACAAGUAGAAGGCCGUUGUUCUGAUACGCUGCGUGUAAAAGUCAUGUGUGGUAGAGAUGGACUGGACGAAGUGACGGGGAACCUUACUGGUGCUGACCCGGCGGGAGCUCACAGCGAAGGAGGAGGUCAGCGUGACUUUUCAUAGUUCCUCUGAUCUUUUCAGUGGCUCUUAUGUGAAAAGCGGAGACCAAAAUGAAAAGAGAAUCUGACAGAUCUUAGCGGCCGUCUCCGUCCUGAUGCGCUAAUGCCGUCUUUCAUCUCCGCGGUCGCUGCCAUCUCGCCGGCUGCGGUCGCAUCGCCAUGGCAAUGUCCAGAAAGCGAGCGGCUGGGCAUGAUGUCAUCGCUGGACGGCUCGAUUCGCGCAGCGGAGUGGAAGACGAGGACUGUGGGAGUGGAGCUUUCUGGCAGGUAGAGUCCCACACCUGUCCUGCUGCCGGUCGGCUGGAAUAAACACCGGGGUCAUGCUAACACCCCUCGGAGAUCUCCACACACUGUCACAGAGAGAUUUUCUGGUCAGCGAGUGAUUGUCAGCGACAUACGGAGACGAGCCACAUCUGCAUGCGCCUCCGGUUGUUUGCAAUAGCGACGGUGUAAGGAGAGACACCCUUUUCUUUUUCUGACCCCCUCUUCCUUCUCGGUCCCACAUCAGUCCAUCUGGUUCUUGUUUGUUUGGCUGCGUCUGGCUUAUAGCUGCGUCGGGGUCCAGAUGGCUCCGGCGCUGCUCUUCGAGCGUCCUUGCAUGGGUCAUCUGUGAUGAGGAAGCCCUUCCCUAUACGUUCAUCCUCGGAGAUUAGAGUCUAGCGGUGAAGCUCUGGUCAUUCGCUCCCCAAAGAGAGAGAGAGACGGCCGACCUGCGGAGGGUCAGAGUCAGAGACCGGCGAGGACGCUUGGAAAACGGCGCCUUGCAUCCAAAACGACGCGGACCAAAGCGAUGUAUAUCCGAGGAAUCCUUCUGUAGUCGGAUCUUCUGAGGCUUUAUGAUGAACUGUCAUUGCAAACAGAGCUGGAAUGCUUGUAGGACGCUUUGUAGUGCACUAAAGCAUCGUUUGUGGCUUUGUACACGGCUAAUUUGUUUUCACCAACCGUAAUGUUUGAGAUUCUUGGUGGGUGAAGCACAAUGAAUCAAAUCUUUUCAGUCUUUUUGUUCAUCAUCGCGCUCAGUUGUCGUUUUGGAUGUUGACAUCAUCCCACAAACCGCUGGCAGAUGACGAUAAAUGAGAGCAAAUGCAGAGUCAAACACCCUUUUUUUUUUAUCUAGACGCAUGCAUUUGUAAAAAGGCUUGAGGUAUUUAUAUCUUAGUGUAAGAUAGACUCUUAGUGCUUCAUAUACUGUAUUGCUGAACAGGCCGUUUUAUGCUUUGCAUUUCCUUGCAGAUUGCUGCGCAAUUCCCUUUUUUUGCUCUUGACGUUUAAUAGCGAUUUCAGUCCAUGAAAAUGCAUAAAAUCCAAAAACGUGUAAAAAAAUGCAUGCUAUUGAGAUACUAUUGUAGUCCUAAUAUUUUAAAUGUUUUUAUUUUUAGAUUUUUUGUUUUCGUUUAAAUUUUUAGUUUUUUAUAUUUUUGUAAUUUUUGUGGCAAUUUUAUUUAUUCAUUUUUUUAUAUUUUUUUUUAACGUUUAGAUAUUUUUUUUGAGUUACGCCAGUUAUAGCAGGAAAAUAAAUGCAGGUUUGAUUAUAUGAUCCUCACAACAUGGGUUAAAAAAAGGCUUUCUAAUAGAAAGAAAGAAAAUACAUUUAUAAAUAAAUGCACAAAUGAAUACAUAAAAUAAAAAAUAAAAAAUGUAAUGUAACUUUGUGAUUGGAUACACUGUGCUUUGUGUAGUUUCAAAAAAAUCACGCAAUUAUAUGUUGUGUAAUUACUUAAAAACUUUCUCACAAGCUUGCGUUAAAUAUAAAAUAAAAACCACACGACAGCAUUUGUAAAGAUAUAUUGUUUGUACAGUAUUUCUCACUUUCUGGAUGGGAGCAGGGCUGCCGAAAGCUUCCCUUACAUUGUGCAUUCGAAUAAGGCCAGGAUUUUGCAGGAGAGGUCAAAAGGCCCGGCGGAGGUUAAGCUGAGUUUGAUGACAUCUUUAUAGCGGCGCUGUUAGCUUGUCUUCUACCUUUAGCCUGCAGUUUCUCACACUUCUCUCCUCGGGACUCAAUUCAGGCCAGAUCUGCUGCACUGAAUGGAGACGGGCAACAAAAGCUGACAUCAUUCCAGUAGGAUCUGAUUGCACGCACGCACACACACACACGCACACACACACACACACACACACACACACACACACACACACACACACACACACACGCACGCGCACUCGGCCCCUCGCCGGGCCCCCGGAACAAUGACAUCACAGGCUUCCCUUCACUCGAGCUUUCUGAGAUGCUGCGUUGCCCCGAACAACGGUCCGUCAUGUUUGUGUGUUUGUGACAAGCGCCGGCUCUUAAAGAGAAACAACGGCCAAAAAUCAUCGUUCUGUCAUCAUUCACAAACCUCUGUGAUUUUAUUUCUUAGACGCGUUAGACACGUGGGAUUCGAAACAGCGUUUGACCCCGUUGACUUUCACUGUACGGUCUUUUCUGCCUUCAACAGAAGAAAGUUAUCGUGAAGUAAUGUCACAAACAACUACAAAGUUUGCAGUUAUAGUAUGACGCGCUAGAUUAAACCUGACCGGAAAAACCUGGUAUCCUGCGUGUAGUAAUAUCCUAGUUGACAUUUUAUUUUUCUGAGAAAUAUCAUAGAAAAUCUAGGUUUAGCAUAUUUAGAAAAUCAAAUUAAUAUUAUUACUAUUAAUAUUUUAUUACUAUUAGUAUCAAGUGAAGUAUGUCAAUUUUUUUGUAAUUAUUUAUAUACGUAUUUUUAUCAAGUGAAUUAUCUCUAAUAAAUGUUAUUCUGUUUUUUAUAAUUAGUUAUUCAUAUAUGUUUUAUUAUUAUUUAAUUUACUGACAAACACCGUAUAAAAUCCUUCUUACCCACGUUUAGAGAAUCAGAUGAUUUUUAAUAAUAUUAAUCUCAAAUAUUUAAGUGACUGUAAUUAAUGCAUUUAUUCAUUUAUUUUGUUCGUUUUAAAAUGCAUACAAUACAAAUGUGGGUUGAAUCUUUUUCAAGUACCGAACAAAACCUUUAAGCCUGCUCAGACCCAAACACUUCAUUCAAGUUUGAGUUUAUGGUUAAAGGCGCGCAGAAUACCCAUAAUGCCACGUGUAUUUCAUGUUGGGGAAAUCAUGUGAUCGUUUUAGGACCGAGUCCAGAUGAGAACGGAGCUAAAAGCUGGUGCAGACUCUACAUCAAGCUGUGGUUUUCCCAAGAAUCCCGAUUGAUCUCCGAGCAAAUGAGAUGCGCCCCGCUCUUCAUCUGCAUACGGCCGACUCCCCGCCAAUCUCUCCUCCCACGAUGCAUUGUGCCUCCGUGAUGUCAGAGCGGGCCGCUGUCCCUCAGAACUUCAUCAAAGGGAGCGGAGAGAAAGGAGCCGUGGACAGGAAUAUCAAUGCGCUCCGGAACGGGACGGAGAGGCUGGCGUUCGAAAUCAACCAAGCAAAUUUGUUUAUUAGAUUUUUCCACCUCUCUUGCUCCGAGACGACAUUCUUUCUCUUUUCUUUUAGCGUUUCUGCGCGCGGCGGGACCCGAUUGUCUUCCUUCCCCCUCGCGGCGUUUUGGAAAAGGCUUCUGUAAUUAGCGCUCGGCUGAAUUAAUUACGGAAAUGAGGAUGCGAAGGACGAGAGAAAAGAGUUUGGGGGGUUGGGGUGGAAGGGAUUGUAUCAGAAGCCAGUGUUCCCACUAAUUAAUCUCUUCAUUCACAUGACAGAAAUUAGCAGGCCGACUCAUAUUUGCCUGAUUCUUUUUCUUCCUGUCGCAUGGAUUCAGAGCCGAGGGAAAGGCAUUAUAUACAAGUGAUGUUUUCGAUUUUUUUAUUUUUAUUUCUUUUCUUUUCUUUCACUUUUUUCUUUUUGUUUUGAAUUUCCGUUAAAUACAGUAUUUUUUUUAAGUACCGAGUAAAAAAAAAAGCUAAGAUAUUUGUUAAAAUUGGCACAUACAAGUCACUUAAAAAAAUAAAAUAAAUAAAUAAAUCCGUUUUAUUUUAUGACUUGGUUCCCUGUGUUGGGACAAACAGGUU
Molecule: long non-coding RNA, 5172 nt
Organism: Puntigrus tetrazona (Sumatra barb)
Lineage: Eukaryota; Metazoa; Chordata; Actinopteri; Cypriniformes; Cyprinidae
Exons: 3
Source: RefSeq, a predicted model, not a curated record